RNAcentral lists this ribosomal RNA (301 nucleotides) under uncultured bacterium. RNAcentral describes it as "partial 16S ribosomal RNA". It matches the Rfam family "Bacterial small subunit ribosomal RNA", at positions 509 to 807 of the family's 1533-position model. The record is from RNAcentral.
CAGCCGCCACGGUAAAACGGAGGGUGCAAGCGUUAAUCGGAAUUACUGGGCGUAAAGCGCACGCAGGCGGUCUGUCAAGUCGGAUGUGAAAUCCCCGGGCUCAACCUGGGAACUGCAUUCGAAACUGGCAGGCUAGAGUCUUGUAGAGGGGGGUAGAAUUCCAGGUGUAGCGGUGAAAUGCGUAGAGAUCUGGAGGAAUACCGGUGGCGAAGGCGGCCCCCUGGACAAAGACUGACGCUCAGGUGCGAAAGCGUGGGGAGCAAACAGGAUUAGAUACCCCUGUAGUCCCUGUCUCUUAUAC